RNAcentral lists this ribosomal RNA (253 nucleotides) under uncultured bacterium. Its description in RNAcentral is "partial 16S ribosomal RNA". It matches the Rfam family "Bacterial small subunit ribosomal RNA", at positions 524 to 776 of the family's 1533-position model. The record is from RNAcentral.
AACGUAGGAGACAAACGUUAUCCGGAGUUACUGGGCGUAAAGGGCGUGUAGGUGGUAGUGUAAGUCUGGCGUGAAAUUUUUCGGCUUAACCGGGAAAGGUCGUCGGAUACUGCUUAACUAGAGGACGGUAGAGGCGUGUGGAAUUCCGGGUGUAGUGGUGAAAUGCGUAGAGAUCCGGAGGAACACCAGUGGCGAAGGCGACACGCUGGGCCGUACCUGACACUGAUGCGCGACAGCAUGGGGAGCAAACAGG